UACGUAGGGUGCGAGCGUUAAUCGGAAUUACUGGGCGUAAAGCGUGCGCAGGCGGUUCGUCGUGUCUGAUGUGAAAGCCCCGGGCUCAACCUGGGAAUGGCAUUGGAAACUGGCGGACUAGAGUGUGGCAGAGGGGGGUGGAAUUCUCGGUGUAGCGGUGAAAUGCGUAGAUAUCGAGAGGAACACCUGCGGCGAAGGCGGGUGGCUGGGCCGACACUGACGCUGAGGCGCGAAAGCCAGGGGAGCGAACGGG
RNAcentral lists this ribosomal RNA (253 nucleotides) under uncultured bacterium. Its description in RNAcentral is "partial 16S ribosomal RNA". It matches the Rfam family "Bacterial small subunit ribosomal RNA", at positions 524 to 776 of the family's 1533-position model. The record is from RNAcentral.